This 1242-nucleotide long non-coding RNA is filed under the name Sus scrofa (pig). RNAcentral describes it as "lncRNA (ENSSSCG00035039310.1)". The record is from RNAcentral. Lineage: Eukaryota; Metazoa; Chordata; Mammalia; Artiodactyla; Suidae.
GAAUAGCAUCUCGGAAAGUUUUUGUAAGGAUCCCAUGACAUUUAUCACAAGAAGCACUAAACACAGUGUCUUGCAGACAAUGACCUUGAGGUCCAUAGAGUCAUUAUUAUUGCCACUUAAUCAUCCUGAUAGCCAGUCUCUGAAACCAAGCUUUAAGUCAAAUGACAGUGAUGGAUAUUAAAACAUAAUGUCCCAAGUGAGUUCCAAGAGGCACGUCACCUACGCUGCAGGAGAUACUUCCACUGGAAACUAUACUUCACUCAUCCUGUCUUUUGCUUUUCCAGUGGGACAUUUCUGCUGAGUUCUCAGUAGCAGAAAACCAAAGGGAUACAGGUUGAUAUUUGUAUUUGUGCCCAGCUGCUUUGACCUGCUUACUCUAAGAAUUAGAGGGAUGAAACUCUAGGAAUUAGACCUUCAUGGAAGCUGGUCUUAUGUCAUUUAACAAUGGUAGGGCAAGUUAAGGGGUGGUUUUCAUGAAAUAAUUCAGAAAAAUUCCUGUUUUCUUCAGCAGGAAACACGCUGGUCCCAGAAAGAAGAUGUUCAUAUUGCAACCUAGCUAUAUUGUUAAUAUUGUCAUACACUUGAAAGUGUUAUUUUUCAAUUUCCCCAUGAUACUUUUCUUAUACUAAAUAGUAUUCUCCCUACUCACCCUGCACAGGCUUUGGAGUAUAACAAUGAACUACUCACUGUAAACAAUUAAGAAAAUACAGAGAAGUAUAAAGAAGAAAAAUAACCACCCAUGAAUAUGUACAAUUAAGAUUUUGUUAUAGAUUCAUUUUUCAACAAUUAAUUCAUGUGCCUACCCUGUGCCCUCGUGAUUUUUCACUCUGUUAUACAUGUGUGUAUAAUUACAUAUUUAAUUUAAAUUAUAAAACUGGUGUGGCAGUGUUUAAUUUCAUAUCCUCUCUUUUUCAUUUAAGCCAGAGGCUCACAGGAUCAGCUUUUGACAAUAUCAUUUUUAGGACGUGCGUAACAAUUCAUCAGGGAGAUGUCAACAGAAUAUGCUGGUUCAGAAUGAAUGUGUCCUUGUGACUGGUAUUUCUGAUGGACCUGGCUGUGCUUCUGCUCUCAGAAAUCACCCCCUUCUGGGAUCACAAGAAAAAUAGGCCCAUCUUUUAAGACAGAAAUAAUUUUUGCUUCCCUAAGCACUGUUUCUCAAAUUUGUUUUCAGGUUUAAAAUCUAUUGGUGAAUCUUCGUGCCAUAUCGUAUUAUGCAGAAAAAUCUAAUGUGUGCUGGUUAGG